UACGUAGGGGGCGAGCGUUGUCCGGAUUUAUUGGGCGUAAAGAGCUCGUAGGCGGUUGGGUAAGUCGGGUGUGAAAACUCAGGGCUCAACUCUGAGACGCCACUCGAUACUGCCCUGACUCGAGUCCGGUAGGGGAGCGUGGAAUUCCAGGUGUAGCGGUGAAAUGCGCAGAUAUCGGGAGGAACACCAGUGGCGAAGGCGGCGCUCUGGGCCGGAACUGACGCUGAGGAGCGAAAGCGUGGGUAGCAAACAGG
This 254-nucleotide ribosomal RNA is filed under the name uncultured bacterium. Its description in RNAcentral is "partial 16S ribosomal RNA". It matches the Rfam family "Bacterial small subunit ribosomal RNA", at positions 524 to 776 of the family's 1533-position model. The record is from RNAcentral.